AGUGUUUGGGCCUUAUUUCAAGUCCAUCAACUAUGAGGCCGCCUUUCAAGUGCACGCCUUUAACUUCCUUGAGGCACAUUCUGACUUCUUCGUUUGAAUGGGUGUAAAAACUCCCCAACUCAAUCUCCGACCAUUCUUCAUCUUCAAAACGAAAAGAACAUUUGGUGUCUGUUUUUCGACAUGAACGUAUGCAAACGGUUCCUUGUGAUUUAUGUUUGCCAACUUCUACGGACACCUCCGAUGGUAACACGUCUAACCCAUAAGCUCGAUCCGCGAUUUUCACUUUCAGGUAGGCUCCGUAUAAAGUAUUGGGAGAUAACAUUCCGCUGUUUAUGCUUCCCUUUAUUUCCAGCCAGCUUAUGGUUCUCAGUUCAGCUGCUUCUUCAAAUCUACGCACAGAUUUCAAAAACGAGUUUGUAAUUGGACAUGACAUGACAUGAUACCUAUGAAGAAAUUGAAGUGGAAAGUUACAGUUAAAAGAGAAAGUGUUUGAGAAUUGGAAAGAUGUCGACGAUGCAGAAACAAACCUUGAACCUCGGAUGGGUUUCCAGGACCAAUACAGAGGGCUGUUUCCCCAUGCAAUUGAAAGUUGUCUUGCGCUCAACAGCAUGAGCUGCCACUUAUAAAGACUCUAGCAAAUGUACAAGGUUUUGGUAAAAUAUGCAAACUCUUCAAUUAGAGUUUACACUGGACCAAAUAGUGAUUUUGCUAUGAGCCUUUACAAUCUGCAAAGGGACAAACACUGAAGAAAGUUACCUUGUUACCGUCGUCAAUUGGUCGUGGAUCGCAUAAC
Vigna radiata var. radiata (mung bean) is the source of this 793-nucleotide long non-coding RNA. RefSeq lists it as uncharacterized. The record is from RefSeq and is a predicted model, not a curated record. The transcript has 3 exons. NCBI's taxonomy places the organism in Eukaryota, Viridiplantae, Streptophyta, Magnoliopsida, Fabales, Fabaceae.